CGACCGGCGCACGGGUGAGUAACACGUAUGCAACCUGCCCUCUUCAGGGGGACAACCUUCCGAAAGGGAGGCUAAUCCCGCGUAUAUCGGUUUCGGGCAUCCGAGAUCGAGGAAAGAUUCAUCGGGAGAGGAUGGGCAUGCGGCGCAUUAGCUAGACGGCGGGGUAACGGCCCACCGUGGCGACGAUGCGUAGGGGUUCUGAGAGGAAGGUCCCCCACACUGGUACUGAGACACGGACCAGACUCCUACGGAAGGCAGCAG
RNAcentral lists this ribosomal RNA (261 nucleotides) under uncultured bacterium. RNAcentral describes it as "partial 16S ribosomal RNA". It matches the Rfam family "Bacterial small subunit ribosomal RNA", at positions 92 to 354 of the family's 1533-position model. The record is from RNAcentral.